AAAUUGAAGAGUUUGAUCAUGGCUCAGAUUGAACGCUGGCGGCAGGCCUAACACAUGCAAGUCGAGCGGAAACGAGUUAUCUGAACCUUCGGGGAACGAUAACGGCGUCGAGCGGCGGACGGGUGAGUAAUGCCUAGGAAAUUGCCCUGAUGUGGGGGAUAACCAUUGGAAACGAUGGCUAAUACCGCAUGAUGCCUACGGGCCAAAGAGGGGGACCUUCGGGCCUCUCGCGUCAGGAUAUGCCUAGGUGGGAUUAGCUAGUUGGUGAGGUAAGGGCUCACCAAGGCGACGAUCCCUAGCUGGUCUGAGAGGAUGAUCAGCCACACUGGAACUGAGACACGGUCCAGACUCCUACGGGAGGCAGCAGUGGGGAAUAUUGCACAAUGGGCGCAAGCCUGAUGCAGCCAUGCCGCGUGUGUGAAGAAGGCCUUCGGGUUGUAAAGCACUUUCAGUCGUGAGGAAGGUGGUGUAGUUAAUAGCUGCAUUAUUUGACGUUAGCGACAGAAGAAGCACCGGCUAACUCCGUGCCAGCAGCCGCGGUAAUACGGAGGGUGCGAGCGUUAAUCGGAAUUACUGGGCGUAAAGCGCAUGCAGGUGGUUUGUUAAGUCAGAUGUGAAAGCCCGGGGCUCAACCUCGGAAUAGCAUUUGAAACUGGCAGACUAGAGUACUGUAGAGGGGGGUAGAAUUUCAGGUGUAGCGGUGAAAUGCGUAGAGAUCUGAAGGAAUACCGGUGGCGAAGGCGGCCCCCUGGACAGAUACUGACACUCAGAUGCGAAAGCGUGGGGAGCAAACAGGAUUAGAUACCCUGGUAGUCCACGCCGUAAACGAUGUCUACUUGGAGGUUGUGGCCUUGAGCCGUGGCUUUCGGAGCUAACGCGUUAAGUAGACCGCCUGGGGAGUACGGUCGCAAGAUUAAAACUCAAAUGAAUUGACGGGGGCCCGCACAAGCGGUGGAGCAUGUGGUUUAAUUCGAUGCAACGCGAAGAACCUUACCUACUCUUGACAUCCAGAGAACUUUCCAGAGAUGGAUUGGUGCCUUCGGGAGCUCUGAGACAGGUGCUGCAUGGCUGUCGUCAGCUCGUGUUGUGAAAUGUUGGGUUAAGUCCCGCAACGAGCGCAACCCUUAUCCUUGUUUGCCAGCGAGUAAUGUCGGGAACUCCAGGGAGACUGCCGGUGAUAAACCGGAGGAAGGUGGGGACGACGUCAAGUCAUCAUGGCCCUUACGAGUAGGGCUACACACGUGCUACAAUGGCGCAUACAGAGGGCGGCCAACUUGCGAAAGUGAGCGAAUCCCAAAAAGUGCGUCGUAGUCCGGAUUGGAGUCUGCAACUCGACUCCAUGAAGUCGGAAUCGCUAGUAAUCGUGGAUCAGAAUGCCACGGUGAAUACGUUCCCGGGCCUUGUACACACCGCCCGUCACACCAUGGGAGUGGGCUGCAAAAGAAGUAGGUAGUUUAACCUUCGGGGGGACGCUUACCACUUUGUGGUUCAUGACUGGGGUGAAGUCGUAACAAGGUAGCGCUAGGGGAACCUGGCGCUGGAUCACCUCCUUA
Molecule: ribosomal RNA, 1553 nt
Filed under: Vibrio alginolyticus
Lineage: Bacteria; Pseudomonadati; Pseudomonadota; Gammaproteobacteria; Vibrionales; Vibrionaceae
Description: bacterial SSU rRNA
Rfam family: Bacterial small subunit ribosomal RNA
Source: RNAcentral